ACGCUCGACACCUACGGGAGGCAGCAGUGGGGAAUAUUGCACAAUGGGGGAAACCCUGAUGCAGCGACGCCGCGUGAGCGAAGAAGUAUUUCGGUAUGUAAAGCUCUAUCAGCAGGGAAGAAACUGACGGUACCUGACUAAGAAGCACCGGCUAAAUACGUGCCUGCAGCCGCGGUAAUCUGAGCGGGCUGGCAAGGC
RNAcentral lists this ribosomal RNA (198 nucleotides) under uncultured bacterium. RNAcentral's name for it is "partial 16S ribosomal RNA". It matches the Rfam family "Bacterial small subunit ribosomal RNA", at positions 328 to 539 of the family's 1533-position model. The record is from RNAcentral.